RNAcentral lists this long non-coding RNA (224 nucleotides) under Nicotiana benthamiana. Its description in RNAcentral is "long non-coding RNA (NBEN_LNC039177)". The record is from RNAcentral. Lineage: Eukaryota; Viridiplantae; Streptophyta; Magnoliopsida; Solanales; Solanaceae.
ACAAAUAUCUGUGACCCCAAUAUAUAUAUUUACACACUGGGUCGGGUCAAGGACCCAACUAGAAUGAGGGUCGGAUCUUUGUUUGGACUCAGAGACAUGGGCUCAGAUAUGACUCUCAGUUAUUGGGCUCGGGAGAAGCCCAACUCAGACACUAUCAUCACUGCCCAAUAUUGGAUAUACCAAAAUACACUAAAUAUACAUUGUGUAUAUACUAUACACUAUUA